AAUCAACGCUGGCGGCGUGCCUAACACAUGCAAGUCGCACGAGAAAGGGGAGCAAUCCCUGAGUAAAGUGGCGCACGGGUGAGUAACACGUGACUAACCUACCCUCGAGUGGGGAAUAACCUAGAGAAAUCUGGGCUAAUACCGCAUAACACUUACGAGUCAAAGCAGCAAUGCGCUUGAGGAGGGGGUCGCGGCAGAUUAGCUAGUUGGCGGGGUAAUGGCCCACCAAGGCAAUGAUCUGUAUCCGGCCUGAGAGGGCGCACGGACACACUGGAACUGAAACACGGUCCAGACUCCUACGGGAGGCAGCAGUGGGGAAUUUUGCGCAAAUGGGGGAAACCCUGACGCAGCAACGCCGCGUGGAGAUGAAAUCCCUUGGGAUGUAAACUCCUUUCGAUAGGGAAGAUAAUGACGGUACCUAUAGAAGAACGCCCCGGCUAACUUCGUGCCAGCCGCCGCUGUAAG
RNAcentral lists this ribosomal RNA (465 nucleotides) under uncultured bacterium. Its description in RNAcentral is "bacterial SSU rRNA". It matches the Rfam family "Bacterial small subunit ribosomal RNA", at positions 32 to 524 of the family's 1533-position model. The record is from RNAcentral.